UACGGGGGGGACAAGCGUUGUUCGGAUUUACUGGGCGUAAAGGGCGCGUAGGCGGACCUUCAAGUCGGAUGUGAAAACUGGCGGCUCAACUGCCAGCCUGCAUUUGAUACUGUCGGCCUUGAGUACAGGAGAGGAGAAUGGAAUUCCAGGUGUAGCGGUGAAAUGCGUAGAUAUCUGGAAGAACACCAGUAGCGAAGGCGGUUCUCUGGACUGAUACUGACGCUUAAGCGCGAAGGCUUGGGGAGCAAACAGG
This 253-nucleotide ribosomal RNA is filed under the name uncultured bacterium. Its description in RNAcentral is "partial 16S ribosomal RNA". It matches the Rfam family "Bacterial small subunit ribosomal RNA", at positions 524 to 776 of the family's 1533-position model. The record is from RNAcentral.